Molecule: long non-coding RNA, 445 nt
Organism: Pteropus alecto (black flying fox)
Lineage: Eukaryota; Metazoa; Chordata; Mammalia; Chiroptera; Pteropodidae
Exons: 3
Source: RefSeq, a predicted model, not a curated record
GGCGGCGGCGGCGACGACGUGGGGUGGGGGGGAAGGGAAGGAGGAAGACUGGAUCCGCAGCGGCAGCAGGAGGAGAAAGAAGGAGAAGGAGUAGGAGCCGCUGGAGCCGCCACUGCCAGAGCCGCCCUUCGAUAUCCGCGACCCCACGGAUCCUUGACAGAAGGCAUUGGAAGCAAAUGCAUUGUCACAUCGAGAGAAGUUCUCUGCUGACCAGCUUGCUGCACAGUACACUGAAUGAUGACCUCUAAAUAGGGAUGUGUGUGGAAGCAGAGAGAGGAGUUAGCACCCUGAGGGGAGAUAUUGUCUCAUGGAAAAGGAAGAAUGUUGACUUUCUACUACGAAGAGAAAGACCAAGCAUUUGCACACCCCUUCCUUCCUCUUCUCUUCCCUACUCCCAAUAUAGUUUUACAAAGUUUUUGAUUAAACCAAUAUUGUGCUUACAUUA